This 497-nucleotide ribosomal RNA is filed under the name uncultured bacterium. RNAcentral's name for it is "partial 16S ribosomal RNA". It matches the Rfam family "Bacterial small subunit ribosomal RNA", at positions 28 to 507 of the family's 1533-position model. The record is from RNAcentral.
GAUGAACGCUGGCGGCGUGCCUAAUACAUGCAAGUCGAGCGAACAGACGAGGAGCUUGCUCCUCUGACGUUAGCGGCGGACGGGUGAGUAACACGUGGAUAACCUACCUAUAAGACUGGGAUAACUUCGGGAAACCGGAGCUAAUACCGGAUAAUAUAUUGAACCGCAUGGUUCAAUAGUGAAAGACGGUUUUGCUGUCACUUAUAGAUGGAUCCGCGCCUCAUUAGCUAGUUGGUAAGGUAACGGCUUACCAAGGCAACGAUGCGUAGCCGACCUGAGAGGGUGAGCGGCCACACUGGAACUGAGACACGGUCCAGACUCCUACGGGAGGCAGCAGUAGGGAAUCUUCCGCAAUGGGCGAAAGCCUGACGGAGCAACGCCGCGUGAGUGAUGAAGGUCUUCGGAUCGUAAAACUCUGUUAUUAGGGAAGAACAAAUGUGUAAGUAACUAUGCACGUCUUGACGGUACCUAAUCAGAAAGCCACGGCUAACUACGUG